This 492-nucleotide ribosomal RNA is filed under the name uncultured bacterium. RNAcentral's name for it is "partial 16S ribosomal RNA". It matches the Rfam family "Bacterial small subunit ribosomal RNA", at positions 29 to 507 of the family's 1533-position model. The record is from RNAcentral.
AGUGAACGCUGGCGGUAGGCCUAACACAUGCAAGUCGAACGGCAGCACAGUAAGAGCUUGCUCUUACGGGUGGCGAGUGGCGGACGGGUGAGGAAUACAUCGGAAUCUACUAUUUCGUGGGGGAUAACGUAGGGAAACUUACGCUAAUACCGCAUACGACCUACGGGUGAAAGCAGGGGAUCUUCGGACCUUGCGCGAUUGAAUGAGCCGAUGUCGGAUUAGCUAGUUGGCGGGGUAAAGGCCCACCAAGGCGACGAUCCGUAGCUGGUCUGAGAGGAUGAUCAGCCACACUGGAACUGAGACACGGUCCAGACUCCUACGGGAGGCAGCAGUGGGGAAUAUUGGACAAUGGGCGCAAGCCUGAUCCAGCCAUACCGCGUGGGUGAAGAAGGCCUUCGGGCUGUAAAGCCCUUUUGUUGGGAAAGAAAAGCAGCAGGUUAAUACCCCGCUGUUCUGACGGUACCCAAAGAAUAAGCACCGGCUAACUUCGUG